Molecule: ribosomal RNA, 1251 nt
Filed under: Paulownia witches'-broom phytoplasma
Lineage: Bacteria; Bacillati; Mycoplasmatota; Mollicutes; Acholeplasmatales; Acholeplasmataceae
Description: bacterial SSU rRNA
Rfam family: Bacterial small subunit ribosomal RNA
Source: RNAcentral
UGGAAACGACUGCUAAGACUGGAUAGGAGACAAGAAGGCAUCUUCUUGUUUUUAAAAGACCUAGCAAUAGGUAUGCUUAGGGAGGAGCUUGCGUCACAUUAGUUAGUUGGUGGGGUAAAGGCCUACCAAGACUAUGAUGUGUAGCCGGGCUGAGAGGUUGAACGGCCACAUUGGGACUGAGACACGGCCCAAACUCCUACGGGAGGCAGCAGUAGGGAAUUUUCGGCAAUGGAGGAAACUCUGACCGAGCAACGCCGCGUGAACGAUGAAGUAUUUCGGUACGUAAAGUUCUUUUAUUAAGGAAGAAUAAAUGAUGGAAAAAUCAUUCUGACGGUACCUAAUGAAUAAGCCCCGGCUAACUAUGUGCCAGCAGCCGCGGUAAUACAUAGGGGGCAAGCGUUAUCCGGAAUUAUUGGGCGUAAAGGGUGCGUAGGCGGUUAAAUAAGUUUGUGGUCUAAGUGCAAUGCUCAACAUUGUGAUGCUAUAAAAACUGUUUAGCUAGAGUAAGAUAGAGGCAAGUGGAAUUCCAUGUGUAGUGGUAAAAUGCGUAAAUAUAUGGAGGAACACCAGUAGCGAAGGCGGCUUGCUGGGUCUUUACUGACGCUGAGGCACGAAAGCGUGGGGAGCAAACAGGAUUAGAUACCCUGGUAGUCCACGCCGUAAACGAUGAGUACUAAACGUUGGGUAAAACCAGUGUUGAAGUUAACACAUUAAGUACUCCGCCUGAGUAGUACGUACGCAAGUAUGAAACUUAAAGGAAUUGACGGGACUCCGCACAAGCGGUGGAUCAUGUUGUUUAAUUCGAAGGUACCCGAAAAACCUCACCAGGUCUUGACAUGCUUCUGCAAAGCUGUAGAAACACAGUGGAGGUUAUCAGUUGCACAGGUGGUGCAUGGUUGUCGUCAGCUCGUGUCGUGAGAUGUUGGGUUAAGUCCCGCAACGAGCGCAACCCUUAUUGUUAGUUACCAGCACGUAAUGGUGGGGACUUUAGCAAGACUGCCAGUGAUAAAUUGGAGGAAGGUGGGGACGACGUCAAAUCAUCAUGCCCCUUAUGACCUGGGCUACAAACGUGAUACAAUGGCUGUUACAAAGGGUAGCUGAAGCGCAAGUUUUUGGCGAAUCUCAAAAAAACAGUCUCAGUUCGGAUUGAAGUCUGCAACUCGACUUCAUGAAGUUGGAAUCGCUAGUAAUCGCGAAUCAGCAUGUCGCGGUGAAUACGUUCUCGGGGUUUGUACACACCGCCCGUCAAAC